Molecule: ribosomal RNA, 1309 nt
Filed under: uncultured bacterium
Lineage: Bacteria
Description: bacterial SSU rRNA
Rfam family: Bacterial small subunit ribosomal RNA
Source: RNAcentral
GGAUUAACGUUGGCGGUGCGUCUAAUACAUGCAAGUCGAGCGCUACUUCGGUAGAGCGGCGAACGGGUGAGUAACACGUUGGAAUCUGCCUCGAACUCAGGGAUAACAUCGAGAAAUCGAUGCUAAUACCGGAUAGUCCCGCAAGGGUAAAGAUUUAUCGGUUCGAGAGGAGCCUGCGUCCUAUUAGCUAGUUGGUGAGGUAAUGGCUUACCAAGGCGAUGAUGGGUAGCUGGUCUGAGAGGAUGAUCAGUCACAGGGGAACUGAGACACGGUCCCCACUCCUACGGGAGGCAGCAGUAGGGAAUCUUCCGCAAUGGGCGAAAGCCUGACGGAGCGACACCGCGUGACCGAUGACAGCCGUAAGGUUGUAAAGGUCUUUUCUGAGGGAAUAAUUAUGAAGGUACCUUAGGAAUAAGUAACUGCUAACUACGUGCCAGCAGCAGCGGUAAUACGUAGGUUACAAACGUUAUCCGGAAUCAUUGGGCGUAAAGCGUCCGCAGGCGGCGAAUUAAGUCGAAUGUUAAAUAUCAUGGCCCAACCAUGGUGCCGCAUUCGAUACUGGUUCACUAGAGACUUACAGAGGCUAGUGGAAUUUCUGUGUGUAGGGGUAAAAUCCGUAGAUACACAGAGGAACACCAAAAGCGAAGGCAGCUAGCUGGGUAAGAUCUGACGCUCAUGGACGAAAGCGUGGGUAGCGAACGGGAUUAGAUACCCCGGGUAGUCCACGCCGUAAACUUUGGACACUAGGUGUUGGAGGGCCCGAUCUCUCCAGUGCCGAAGCUAACGCAUUAAGUGUCCCGCCUGGGUAGUACGAACGCAAGUUUAAAACUCAAAGGAAUAGACGGGGACCCACACAAGCGGUGGAGCAUCUGGUUUAAUUCGAUAUUGAGCGAGGAACCUCACCUAGGCUUGACAUCCCGAGAAUUUCUUGGAAACAGGAAAGUGCCUUUUGGAACUCGGUGACAGGCGCUGCAUGGUUGUCGUCAGCUCGUGCCUUGAGGUGUUCGGUUAAGUCCGUAAACGAGCGCAACCCUUGUCCUAUGUUGCAUUUUUUCAUAGGAGACUGCCGGUUCUAAAUCGGAGGAAGGUAAGGACGACGUCAAAUCAGCAUGGCCCUUAUGCCUAGGGCUACACAGGUGCUACAAUGGCUGGUACAAUGGGCAGCAAUGGAGCGAUCCGGAGCAAAUCCCUAAAACCAGUCUAAGUUCGGAUUGGAGGCUGCAACUCGCCUCCAUGAAGUUGGAAUCGCUAGUAAACGCGUAUCAGCAAUGUCGCGUUGAAUAUGUUCCUGGGUCUUGUACUCACCGCC